Molecule: ribosomal RNA, 501 nt
Filed under: uncultured bacterium
Lineage: Bacteria
Description: partial 16S ribosomal RNA
Rfam family: Bacterial small subunit ribosomal RNA
Source: RNAcentral
AUUGAACGCCGGCGGCAGGCUUAACACAUGCAAGUCGAGCGGGGAAAGGUAGCUUGCUACCUGACCUAGCGGCGGACGGUGAGUAAUGCUUAGGAAUCUGCCUAUUAGUGGGGGACAACAUUCCGAAAGGAAUGCUAAUACCGCAUACGCCCUACGGGGGAAAGCAGGGGAUCUUCGGACCUUGCGCUAAUAGAUGAGCCUAAGUCAGAGUUAGCUAGUUGGUGGGGUAAAGGCCUACCAAGGCGACGAUCUGUAGCGGGUCUGAGAGGAUGAUCCGCAACACUGGGACUGAAACACGGCCAAGAAUCCUGCGGGAGGCAGCAGUGGGGAAUAUUGGACAAUGGGCGAAAGCCUGAUCCAGCCAUGCCGCGUGUGUGAAGAAGGCCUUUUGGUUGUAAAGCACUUUAAGCGAGGAGGAGGCUACUUGGAUUAAUACUCUAGGAUAGUGGACGUUACUCGCAGAAUAAGCACCGGCUAACUCUGUGCCAGCCGCCGCAGUAA